CUACGGGAUGCUGCAGUGGGGAAUCUUAGACAAUGGGGGAAACCCUGAUCUAGCCAUGCCGCGUGAUCGAUGAAGGCCUUAGGGUUGUAAAGAUCUUUCAGCUGGGAAGAUAAUGACGGUACCAGCAGAAGAAGCCCCGGCUAACUCCGUGCCAGCAGCCGCGGUAAUACGGAGGGGGCUAGCGUUGUUCGGAAUUACUGGGCGUAAAGCGCACGUAGGCGGAUUGGAAAGUUGGGGGUGAAAUCCCGGGGCUCAACCGCGGAACUGCCUCCAAAACUAUCAGUCUAGAGUUCGAGAGAGGUGAGUGGAAUUCCGAGUGUAGAGGUGAAAUUCGUAGAUAUUCGGAGGAACACCAGUGGCGAAGGCGGCUCACUGGCUCGAUACUGACGCUGAGGUGCGAAAGCGUGGGGAGCAAACAGGAUUAGAUACCCCCGUAGUC
This 439-nucleotide ribosomal RNA is filed under the name uncultured bacterium. RNAcentral describes it as "partial 16S ribosomal RNA". It matches the Rfam family "Bacterial small subunit ribosomal RNA", at positions 339 to 795 of the family's 1533-position model. The record is from RNAcentral.